UGGGAGACGCCUGGGAAUACCAGGUGCUGAAAGCGUUUUC
RNAcentral lists this ribosomal RNA (40 nucleotides) under Hime japonica. The record is from RNAcentral. Lineage: Eukaryota; Metazoa; Chordata; Actinopteri; Aulopiformes; Aulopidae.